GCGGAAGUAGUUCAGUGGUAGAACAUCACCUUGCCAAGGUGGGGGUCGCGGGUUCGAACCCCAUCUUCCGCUCCA
RNAcentral lists this transfer RNA (75 nucleotides) under Listeria monocytogenes. RNAcentral describes it as "tRNA-Gly". It matches the Rfam family "tRNA". Rfam says of the family: Transfer RNA (tRNA) molecules are approximately 80 nucleotides in length. Their secondary structure includes four short double-helical elements and three loops (D, anti-codon, and T loops). Further hydrogen bonds mediate the characteristic L-shaped molecular structure. tRNAs have two regions of fundamental functional importance: the anti-codon, which is responsible for specific mRNA codon recognition, and the 3' end, to which the tRNAs corresponding amino acid is attached (by aminoacyl-tRNA synthetases). tRNAs cope with the degeneracy of the genetic code in two manners: having more than one tRNA (with a specific anti-codon) for a particular amino acid; and 'wobble' base-pairing, i.e. permitting non-standard base-pairing at the 3rd anti-codon position. Lineage: Bacteria; Bacillati; Bacillota; Bacilli; Caryophanales; Listeriaceae. RNAcentral also lists the same sequence under 1 other name. The record is from RNAcentral.